Molecule: transfer RNA, 73 nt
Filed under: Arthothelium ruanum
Lineage: Eukaryota; Fungi; Ascomycota; Arthoniomycetes; Arthoniales; Arthoniaceae
Description: tRNA-Ala
Rfam family: tRNA
About the family: Transfer RNA (tRNA) molecules are approximately 80 nucleotides in length. Their secondary structure includes four short double-helical elements and three loops (D, anti-codon, and T loops).
Source: RNAcentral
GGGGAUAUAGUUCAAUUUGGUAAAACCGCGAUUUUGCAUAUCGUUAUUUCAGGUUCAAGUCCUGAUAUCUCCA